AAACCAGCACCUCAAGUGGUCAGGAUGAUUAUUGGGCCUAAAGCAUCCGUAGCCGGCUCUGUAAGUUUUCGGUUAAAUCUGUACGCUUAACGUACAGGCUGCUGGGAAUACUGCAGAGCUAGGGAGUGGGAGAGGUAGACGGUACUCGGGAGGAAGUGGUAAAAUGCUUUGAUCUCUCGAUGACCACCUGUGGCGAAGGCGGUCUACCAGAACACGUCCGACGGUGAGGGAUGAAAGCUGGGGGAGCAAACCGGAUUAGAAACCCCUGUAGUCC
This 274-nucleotide ribosomal RNA is filed under the name uncultured bacterium. RNAcentral's name for it is "partial 16S ribosomal RNA". It matches the Rfam family "Archaeal small subunit ribosomal RNA", at positions 473 to 747 of the family's 1478-position model. The record is from RNAcentral.